This 1453-nucleotide ribosomal RNA is filed under the name uncultured bacterium. RNAcentral's name for it is "bacterial SSU rRNA". It matches the Rfam family "Bacterial small subunit ribosomal RNA". The record is from RNAcentral.
AGAGUUUGAUCCUGGCUCAGAGUGAACGCUGGCGGCGUGCUUAACACAUGCAAGUCGAACGGUAACAGGUCUUCGGAUGCUGACGAGUGGCGGACGGGUGUGUAAUGUAUAGGUAUGUGCCCCAUAGACUAGGAUAGCCACUGGAAACGGUGAUUAAUACUGGAUACUCCUUACGAGGGAAAGAUUUAUCGCUAUGGGAUCGGCCUAUAUUGUAUCAGCUAGUUGGUGAGGUAAAGGCUCACCAAGGCAAUGACACAUAACUGGUCUGAGAGGAUGAUCAGUCACACUGGAACUGAGACACGGUCCAGACUCCUACGGGAGGCAGCAGUGGGGAAUAUUACACAAUGGAGGAAACUCUGAUGUAGCAACGCCGCGUGGAGAAUGACACAUUUCGGUGCGUAAACUCCUUUUAUUAGGGAAGAUAAUGACGGUACCUAAUGAAUAAGCACCGGCUAACUCCGUGCCAGCAGCCGCGGUAAUACGGAGGGUGCAAGCGUUACUCGGAAUCACUGGGCGUAAAGCGCGCGCAGGCGGGUUUGUAAGUUGGAAGUGAAAUCCACUGGCUUAACCAGUGGACUGCUUCCAAAACUACUUACCUAGAGUCUGGGAGGGGAAGAUGGAAUUAGUUGUGUAGGGGUAAAAUCCGUAGAGAUAACUAGGAAUAUCAAAAGCGAAGGCGAUCUUCUGGAACAGUACUGACGCUGAGGCGCGAAAGCGUGGGGAGCAAACAGGAUUAGAUACCCUGGUAGUCCACGCCCUAAACGAUGAAUGUUAGUCGUCGGUAUGCUCGUCAUAUCGGUGAUGCACUUAACAGAUUAAACAUUCCGCCUGGGGAGUACGGUCGCAAGAUUAAAACUCAAAGGAAUAGACGGGGACCCGCACAAGUGGUGGAGCAUGUGGUUUAAUUCGAAGAUACGCGAAGAACCUUACCUAGCCUUGACAUUGAUAGAAUCCGCUAGAGAUAGUGGAGUGCCAGUUUACUGGAGCUUGAAAACAGGUGCUGCACGGCUGUCGUCAGCUCGUGUCGUGAGAUGUUGGGUUAAGUCCCGCAACGAGCGCAACCCUCGUGACUAGUUACUAACGGUUCGGCCGAGGACUCUAGUCAGACUGCCUUCGUAAGGAGGAGGAAGGUGAGGACGACGUCAAGUCAUCAUGGCCCUUACGGCUAGGGCGACACACGUGCUACAAUGGGCAGGACAAUGAGACGCAAUACCGCGAGGUGGAGCAAAUCUAUAAACCUGCUCUCAGUUCGGAUUGUAGUCCGCAACUCGACUACAUGAAGCUGGAAUCACUAGUAAUCGUAGAUCAGCCAUGCUACGGUGAAUACGUUCCCGGGUCUUGUACUCACCGCCCGUCACACCAUGGGAGUUGAUUUCACCCGAAGCGGGGAAGCUAAACUGGCUACCCUCCACGGUGGAAUCAGCGACUGGGGUGAAGUCGUAACAAGGUAACC